AAUAAACGGAUUUCUGAGUUUUUGGAUAGAAUUUUUGACUCUUCGUCUUAUUUGAAUUUUUUUUAUGAUUAAUAUUUUUAUUUUCACCACAUGAUAAAAUAUAAAUAGUACUUUACGUGCGACUAAUUUUUUUUAAUUUUUUAAUAAUUUUUUUUAAAUAAGACGAAUAGUUAAACACUCUAACUAUAAAAACCAG
Molecule: microRNA precursor, 196 nt
Filed under: Oryza brachyantha (malo sina)
Lineage: Eukaryota; Viridiplantae; Streptophyta; Magnoliopsida; Poales; Poaceae
Description: MIR812 microRNA precursor family
Rfam family: MIR812 microRNA precursor family
Source: Rfam by way of RNAcentral